Molecule: long non-coding RNA, 532 nt
Filed under: Prunus dulcis (almond)
Lineage: Eukaryota; Viridiplantae; Streptophyta; Magnoliopsida; Rosales; Rosaceae
Description: sRNA ncRNA
Source: RNAcentral
AUGGCGGCUGUGAGAUCAUCAUCUUCAUUGGUAUCAAACCCAGUUUAUGAUCAAUGUUCUGACCAAGGAAGCAGGAACAAAUCUGAGCCGUUAAUUCCUGGGUUACCAGACGACAUUGCCGAGUUCUGCCUUCAUUACCUCCCCUCCCCUACCCCUACCAAGCUCUGGUGCGUUCAGUCUCUGCUUCGUGGAACAGAGCCAUCACAGACUCAGAGACAAGCUGGGACUUUCAUCGAGCACCUGGUGUGCACAUAAGGGGUCGCUCUGCAGCGGUCCAAGGGGUCGUCCAUGGAGUCCACAACCAAAUUUCAGGCAUUCCAAGGGGUCUCUUGUCUGAUAUGGAACUUCAAAUCUUGAAGCUUCAGGUGAAAUUGAAAAGAAUCAGGGCAAAGGAAUAAGACAUUCAAGUGAGCCGGAGCUCUGAAUUGAAGGCGGCAUGGAAACUUCAGAAACAGCUUAGCUCUGCUCAACCUGGCUUGGAGGAAGCUGAAACUACCGUCCUCAUGGGUUCCAAACUGAAAUUUGAUGUAUU